RNAcentral lists this ribosomal RNA (253 nucleotides) under uncultured bacterium. RNAcentral describes it as "partial 16S ribosomal RNA". It matches the Rfam family "Bacterial small subunit ribosomal RNA", at positions 524 to 776 of the family's 1533-position model. The record is from RNAcentral.
GACGUAGGGUGCGAGCGUUGUCCGGAUUUAUUGGGCGUAAAGAGCUCGUAGGCGGCUCGUCGCGUCGACCGUGAAAACCCGCGGCUUAACUGCGGGCUUGCGGUUGAUACGGGCGGGCUAGAGUUCGGUAGGGGAGACUGGAAUUCCUGGUGUAGCGGUGAAAUGCGCAGAUAUCAGGAGGAACACCGGUGGCGAAGGCGGAUCUCUGGGCCGAUACUGACGCUGAGGAGCGAAAGCGUGGGGAGCGAACAGG